This 253-nucleotide ribosomal RNA is filed under the name uncultured bacterium. RNAcentral describes it as "partial 16S ribosomal RNA". It matches the Rfam family "Bacterial small subunit ribosomal RNA", at positions 524 to 776 of the family's 1533-position model. The record is from RNAcentral.
UACGGAGGGAGCUAGCGUUGUUCGGAAAUACUGGGCGUAAAGCGCACGUAGGCGGCGCAGCAAGUCAGGGGUGAAAUCCCGGGGCUCAACCCCGGAACUGCCCUUGAAACUGCAGUGCUAGAAUUCUGGAGAGGCGAGUGGAAUUCCGAGUGUAGAGGUGAAAUUCGUAGAGAUCCGGAAGAACACCGGUGGCGAAGGCGGUUAGCUGGGCAGUUGCUGACACUGAGGCGCGACAGCGUGGGGAGCAAACAGG